RNAcentral lists this long non-coding RNA (315 nucleotides) under Pan paniscus (pygmy chimpanzee). RNAcentral describes it as "lncRNA (ENSPPAG00000045628.1)". The record is from RNAcentral. Lineage: Eukaryota; Metazoa; Chordata; Mammalia; Primates; Hominidae.
AUAUGAUACCUUUUUGCAUGACUAUGAUACUGUAUUUGUGUAUUCAUAGAUACAGAUUUUUAAAACAUAUUCUUAUGCAAGGAAGGAAAACGUGUCGGUGAAUGACUUCAUAUUUCUAUUGUGACUUCUAUGUGCUCUGCACGGUUGCUGGAGUUCAGAAAACAUUGGAAAGAGUUAAAUGAGAAUGCAUAUGAGAGUUCAAGACUUCAGCAGAAAAAAAAUCACCUCAUUAAAGGAAAAUUGUGCCUUAUCCCCACUACUCGAAGAUGCAACCAUCUCCCUGGUCACAGCCACUUUUUUCCUUUUUUUCUGUAA